ACCUCCCUCCAUGUAGCUUCAGGCAAAGCUGACUGUACCCCUCAGACCCCACCAGCAAUCCUGUGAGAUGAAUAUCAUUGUUAUGUGAUUCUACAGUUGAGGAAACUAAAUCUUGGGGAGAUUAAAUAAUUGGUCAGAAUCAGCUGCUCAUUAAGUGACUAUUUUGCAGCCACGGAAGAGAGACAUGAUAAUCCUGGAACACUCCCCAUGGCAGGGGUAACAUCAUUGCCAGUGGGGAGUUCUCACCACCAGGGAAAUUAGGCUGUCAGCUGGGGACUUGGAGGCUGAGCAGGCAAUCAAGGCUCAGAAAAUCAAGCAACUGACCAAAAGUCACACGGCAAGGAGGUGGCAGAGCUGGAACUGAAGUUUUGGACUCCAGGGGCUAUUUCCCUGCACUCCUUGGC
This is a long non-coding RNA of Bos taurus (domestic cattle), 404 nucleotides long. The record is from Ensembl. NCBI's taxonomy places the organism in Eukaryota, Metazoa, Chordata, Mammalia, Artiodactyla, Bovidae.